Pelobates cultripes (western spadefoot toad) is the source of this 169-nucleotide non-coding RNA. Lineage: Eukaryota; Metazoa; Chordata; Amphibia; Anura; Pelobatidae. The record is from the annotation of a GenBank genome assembly.
GUACCUCACAUUCCAGCCAAUCAGCAGCAGACCCUCCCUCCCAGACCCUCCCACCUCCUGGACAGCUCACUAAGAAUGCAGCUUCACAAUGAAUGUAAAAUGGAUGCUGUCCAGGAGUUGGGAGGGUCUGGGAGGGAGGGUCUGCUGCUGAUUGGCUGGAAUGUGUCUG